Molecule: ribosomal RNA, 445 nt
Filed under: uncultured bacterium
Lineage: Bacteria
Description: bacterial SSU rRNA
Rfam family: Bacterial small subunit ribosomal RNA
Source: RNAcentral
GAUGAACGCUGGCGGCGUGCUUAACACAUGCAAGUCGAACGGGAAACAUUUUAAUGAAGCUUCGGCAGAUUUAGCUUGUUUCUAGUGGCGGACGGGUGAGUAACGCGUGGGUAACCUGCCUCACACUGGGGGAUAACAGUCAGAAAUGACUGCUAAUACCGCAUAAACGCACGGGAUUGCAUGAUCCAGUGUGAAAAACUCCGGUGGUGUGAGAUGGACCCGCGUUGGAUUAGCCAGUUGGCAGGGUAACGGCCUACCAAAGCGACGAUCCAUAGCCGGCCUGAGAGGGUGGACGGCCACAUUGGGACUGAGACACGGCCCAGACUCCUACGGGAGGCAGCAGUGGGGAAUAUUGCACAAUGGGGGAAACCCUGAUGCAGCGACGCCGCGUGAAGGAAGAAGUAUCUCGGUAUGUAAACUUCUAUCAGCAGGGAAGAAAAUGACG